Molecule: ribosomal RNA, 482 nt
Filed under: uncultured bacterium
Lineage: Bacteria
Description: partial 16S ribosomal RNA
Rfam family: Bacterial small subunit ribosomal RNA
Source: RNAcentral
AUUGAACGCUGGCGGCAUGAUUUACACAUGCCAGUCGAACGGUAACAGGCCGCAAGGUGCUGACGAGCGGCGAACGGGUGAGUAAUGCAUCGGAACGUGCCCAGUCGUGGGGGAUAACUACUCGAAAGAGUAGCUAAUACCGCAUACGAUCUAUGGAUGAAAGCGGGGGACCGUAAGGCCUCGCGCGAUUGGAGCGGCCGAUGUCAGAUUAGGUAGUUGGUGGGGUAAAGGCUCACCAAGCCAACGAUCUGUAGCUGGUCUGAGAGGACGACCAGCCACACUGGGACUGAGACACGGCCCAGACUCCUACGGGAGGCAGCAGUGGGGAAUUUUGGACAAUGGGCGCAAGCCUGAUCCAGCAAUGCCGCGUGCAGGAAGAAGGCCUUCGGGUUGUAAACUGCUUUUGUACGGAACGAAACGGCUCUGGUUAAUACCCGGGGCUAAUGACGGUACCGUAAGAAUAAGCACCGGCUAACUACGUG